UACAGAGGUCUCGAGCGUUAGGCGGAAUCACUGGGCUUAAAGCGUGUGUAGGCGGAUCGGUAAGUACCUUGUGAAAUCCCACAGCUUAACUGUGGAACUGCUUGGUAUACUGCCAGUCUUGAGCCACUUAGGGGCUACCGGAACAAAUGGUGGAGCGGUGAAAUGCGUAGAUAUCAUUUGGAACGCCAAUGGUGAAAACAGGUAGCUGGGAGUGUGCUGACGCUGAGACACGAAAGCCAGGGGAGCGAACGGG
RNAcentral lists this ribosomal RNA (253 nucleotides) under uncultured bacterium. RNAcentral's name for it is "partial 16S ribosomal RNA". It matches the Rfam family "Bacterial small subunit ribosomal RNA", at positions 524 to 776 of the family's 1533-position model. The record is from RNAcentral.